GAUGAGAGGUCCCCGCAAUGGGGUCCUGUGAACCUGGUCAGGGGAGAAAUCCAGCAGCCAUAAGCAGUCCGCUCUUUGUGCGGUGGGCCUCUCAUCAGC
Molecule: signal recognition particle RNA, 99 nt
Filed under: Planctomycetaceae bacterium
Lineage: Bacteria; Pseudomonadati; Planctomycetota; Planctomycetia; Planctomycetales; Planctomycetaceae
Description: signal recognition particle sRNA small type
Rfam family: Bacterial small signal recognition particle RNA
About the family: The signal recognition particle (SRP) is a universally conserved ribonucleoprotein involved in the co-translational targeting of proteins to membranes. Archaeal SRP consists of a 7S RNA and homologues of the eukaryotic SRP19 and SRP54 proteins.
Source: RNAcentral